GAUGAAGAACGCAGUGAAAUGCGAUACUUGGUGUGAAUUGCAGAAUCCCGUGAACCAUCGAGUCUUUGAACGCAAGUUGCGCCCGAAGCCAUUAGGCCGAGGGCACGCCUGCCUGGGUGUCACACACCGUUACCCUCGCGCCAACGUCCAUCGUUGGCCGCGGCGCGGGGCGUGCGCUGACCUCCCGCGAGCGGGGUCUCGUGGUUGGUUGAAAAUCGAGUUCGCGGUCGAGGGUGCCGUGAUGAAAUGGUGGAUGGGCGACGCCCGAGGCCAAUCACGCGCGACUCUGUCAGGCUCGGACUCCUGGACCCCUUCGGCGUCUCCGGACGCUCUUUGGCGAGACCUCAGGUCAGGCGGGGCUACCCGCUGAGUUUAAGCAUAUCAAUAAGCGGAGGA
RNAcentral lists this unclassified non-coding RNA (396 nucleotides) under soil metagenome. RNAcentral's name for it is "partial contains 5.8S ribosomal RNA, internal transcribed spacer 2, and large subunit ribosomal RNA". The stretch from base 1 to 122 matches the Rfam family "5.8S ribosomal RNA", at positions 35 to 154 of the family's 154-position model. The record is from RNAcentral.